GUGGAUGAAACAAUGACAAAAUGG
RNAcentral lists this non-coding RNA (24 nucleotides) under Arabidopsis thaliana (thale cress). The record is from RNAcentral. Lineage: Eukaryota; Viridiplantae; Streptophyta; Magnoliopsida; Brassicales; Brassicaceae.